Nannospalax galili (Upper Galilee mountains blind mole rat) is the source of this 107-nucleotide small nuclear RNA. The record is from Ensembl. Lineage: Eukaryota; Metazoa; Chordata; Mammalia; Rodentia; Spalacidae.
GUGCUUGCUUUGGCAGCACAUAUACUAAAAUUGGAAUGAUACAGAGAAAUUUAGCAUGGCCCCUGCGCAAGGAUGACAGGCAAAUUCCCAAAGCAUUCCAUAUUAUU